Molecule: ribosomal RNA, 253 nt
Filed under: uncultured bacterium
Lineage: Bacteria
Description: partial 16S ribosomal RNA
Rfam family: Bacterial small subunit ribosomal RNA
Source: RNAcentral
UACGUAGGGUGCGAGCGUUGUUCGGAAUUACUGGGCGUAAAGCGCACGUAGGCGGACUAUUAAGUCAGGGGUGAAAUCCCGGGGCUCAACCCCGGAACUGCCUUUGAUACUGGUAGUCUCGAGUCCGGAAGAGGUGAGUGGAAUUCCGAGUGUAGAGGUGAAAUUCGUAGAUAUUCGGAGGAACACCAGUGGCGAAGGCGGCUCACUGGUCCGGUACUGACGCUGAGGUGCGAAAGCGUGGGGAGCAAACAGG